GGAACUUUGAGGAUCAUGAAGGAGAGAAUCAUGAAGAAGAAGGUUCCUGUGGAGAGAGGGUCGCUGCUGUAAGAGGAGCCGAGUUACCGUUGCCAGCAAGAUGUAAAAAUUUGGAGGGAAGCCUGCAGAUCAUACAGAGAUUAUGGUGAUGGCCUGUCACACAGGGGAUGAGAAAGAAAUUGAUGAAAAGGUGAAGCCUCAUUGCUGUGUAGAUCCCUUUCUGUGUAAUAUGGUGACCUCUACUUCCAUGCCCACAUACUGCUUUAUAGCUCUUACUGGAGGAAAAAGAUGUUUGAUGAAUGACAUCCAUACCUGACCCAAAAGGAGAACAUUCAAACCUGUCAUGCUGUUGAGUAUCAAGUGAGAAACUGCUUCGGGGGCGGUAAAGUGAUCAUUGAUGGGAUGACAAUAACUUUCAAAUAUAAUGGGUGCUUUUUCCAUGGUUUUAUCGGAUGCCACCAUGAAAAUGACUGGGACCAUCCACUGGGGAUGAAGCAAAAGAUGGAUGGCUUAAUGAAAGCAGGGUUUACCAUCAGAUUCAGAUGGGAGCACAAGUGAGCUGCUGUGAAGAGAAACAUAUAGGGAGCUCAUGGUCUUAGCCAGGACCAAACUCUCCAGGCCCUUACCCCCAGAAAUGUUUUCUGGUAGCAGGAAAAUGCCACUUGUUUGUACUACAAAGCAGCCCCUGAUGAAAAGAUACACUGAGCACCUACUUUAGGAUGGUAACAAUAAAGGUGUUCUUAACAUGGCUCUUUGCCCUAGGGCUUCUCAUGGGCAUGAAUGGCAAAUUAUUACUAUUUUCCCUAUCUGAAACCUGCCAGGCCUGCUGCUGAUGAAUGGAACUCCCUUGCAGUUGCCUGGUACACCCUGGAACUGAACAAGACUCUGGGGCAGGGUUACAGCUGUGAAACCUGUGAGGUCUGGCAUUUUGAAUAGAGAGGCAGCAGCCUUUCCUUGGAUUACAUAAGGAUAUGCCUCUGCCAGAAGCAGGAAGCUUUAGGCUGCCCAGCCUGGUGUGCAGAUGCAGACAAACCCUGCUACAUAUGCUACAGAUUACAAGCAGAAAGAUGCUGUUUUGUAGCUUGAGCCUGUUAAGUAAGGAGUUGCAUGGUUAUUACUUCACCCCAGCUUCUGAUGUGCCCUCCUGUGACUUGUCCAUGAGGAUGCACCCCAAAGGAUGUGUGUCCCUGAUUUCCAAGACUGUCAUUUCAAGUUUUCUUGCCCCUGCAUGCUUGUGCCUACAGCUAUUUAAACCCUCACACAUCCUGCAUGACUUUGCCUUUACCACAGCAUACAGGCUCUGGGACAAUCCUGAGUCACCCAGGGGAUUCCUCCAGACAAAAACUAUUUUCCAGGCAUGCCCUGAACCACUUUGGCAGAGAUGGCACUUUGCUAAUGUUAUGACAGAAGAAGAAAAGGCUCCAUUAUAGAUUUUUCCAGGCUAU
Molecule: long non-coding RNA, 1445 nt
Organism: Hirundo rustica (Barn swallow)
Lineage: Eukaryota; Metazoa; Chordata; Aves; Passeriformes; Hirundinidae
Exons: 2
Source: RefSeq, a predicted model, not a curated record